This 774-nucleotide long non-coding RNA is filed under the name Fukomys damarensis (Damara mole-rat). RNAcentral describes it as "lncRNA (ENSFDAG00000024414.1)". The record is from RNAcentral. Lineage: Eukaryota; Metazoa; Chordata; Mammalia; Rodentia; Bathyergidae.
GUUUUGCUGUGUAAGCAGCUUCACAGAACUCAGAACCACAGCUCUUCCACAUUCCUUGUAGAACGUCACUGAGAACCGGUGCUGGGGGGCAGCAAAAGAGAGCAGAAGCGGGUAACACCAGGGAGCGGACAACCCCAGCAGUACCGUGACAGCAGCACCCCACGGUCACGGACAGGAAUGCAGCGGGAAGGGGGGGCUCAGGAGGUCAGCUGCCACCUGGGGCUGCAGUCCUGGAAGACGGCGCCAAAUUCAGUCCCAGCGAGGACUUAACAGGAGCAAGGCCAACCCGGAAGCCACAGAGACUUGGGAAGAACCAAGCCAGGACCCCAGGCGUGAAAGGCAGAGGCACUUACCAGAGGCUGGCUCGGGGAGCCGCGUGGCACAGGCACCAGUCUUGUUCCUGAGUCCGGCCCUGAAGGACAAGCCAGGGGGCCAAGCUGCCCAAGCUCCUGAUCUCGGGGUUUCCACAUCUCAGCCCUUGACCUGCUUCUCCUGCGAUCCUAGCAGCAUCCUUCCCGCCUCUCCUCUCGCCUCGCCCUUUCCUCCCACCUGGGGCCACAGCUUCGCCAGACCCUGCCUACACGCCCAGACCUGCACGCUGUCCGGAGCUCGAAGCUCCACCAAAUGACCAGUGCGAGUGGACAUGCAGAAUCCCCUCCCUGACCAAAACAGGACAGCAUUUAAGCCCUGCCAUCCACGCCAGCGCUUUUCAACUCUAGAAUGCAGCAGCUUCCCAGGACUGCAAAUUCAAAGAGAGAUUCUCCCACCACGCAC